RNAcentral lists this ribosomal RNA (463 nucleotides) under Vibrio sp. VibP-Oc-118. RNAcentral's name for it is "bacterial SSU rRNA". It matches the Rfam family "Bacterial small subunit ribosomal RNA", at positions 17 to 466 of the family's 1533-position model. The record is from RNAcentral. Lineage: Bacteria; Pseudomonadati; Pseudomonadota; Gammaproteobacteria; Vibrionales; Vibrionaceae.
UCAUGGCUCAGAUUGAACGCUGGCGGCAGGCCUAACACAUGCAAGUCGAGCGGAAACGACAACAUUGACCCUUCGGGUGAUUUGUUGGGCGUCGAGCGGCGGACGGGUGAGUAAUGCCUGGGAAAUUGCCCUGAUGUGGGGGAUAACCAUUGGAAACGAUGGCUAAUACCGCAUAAUGUCUACGGACCAAAGAGGGGGACCUUCGGGCCUCUCGCUUCAGGAUAUGCCCAGGUGGGAUUAGCUAGUUGGUGAGGUAAUGGCUCACCAAGGCGACGAUCCCUAGCUGGUCUGAGAGGAUGAUCAGCCACACUGGAACUGAGACACGGUCCAGACUCCUACGGGAGGCAGCAGUGGGGAAUAUUGCACAAUGGGCGCAAGCCUGAUGCAGCCAUGCCGCGUGUAUGAAGAAGGCCUUCGGGUUGUAAAGUACUUUCAGUCGUGAGGAAGGCGUUGAAGUUAAUAG